Molecule: ribosomal RNA, 497 nt
Filed under: uncultured bacterium
Lineage: Bacteria
Description: partial 16S ribosomal RNA
Rfam family: Bacterial small subunit ribosomal RNA
Source: RNAcentral
GAUGAACGCUGGCGGCGUGCCUAAUACAUGCAAGUCGAGCGAACGGACGAGAAGCUUGCUUCUCUGAUGUUAGCGGCGGACGGGUGAGUAACACGUGGAUAACCUACCUAUAAGACUGGGAUAACUUCGGGAAACCGUAGCUAAUACCGGAUAAUAUUUUGAACCGCAUGGUUCAAAAGUGAAAGACGGUAUUGCUGUAACUUAUAGAUGGAUCCGCGCUGCAUUAGCUAGAGGGUAAGGUAACGGCUUACCAAGGCAACGAUGCAUAGCCGACCUGAGAGGGUGAUCGGCCACACUGGAACUGAGACACGGUCCAGACUCCUACGGGAGGCAGCAGUAGGAAAUCUUCCGCAAUGGGCGAAAGCCUGACGGAGCAACGCCGCGUGAGUGAUGAAGGUCUUCGGAUCUUAAAACUCUGUUAUUAGGGAAGAACAUAUGUGUAAGUAACUGUGCACAUCUUGACGGUACCUAAUCAGAAAGCCACGGCUAACUACGUG